AUUGAACGCUGGCGGCAGGCCUAACACAUGCAAGUCGAACGGUAACAGGAAGCAGCUUGCUGCUUCGCUGACGAGUGGCGGACGGGUGAGUAAUGUCUGGGAAACUGCCUGAUGGAGGGGGAUAACUACUGGAAACGGUAGCUAAUACCGCAUAACGUCGCAAGACCAAAGAGGGGGACCUUCGGGCCUCUUGCCAUCGGAUGUGCCCAGAUGGGAUUAGCUAGUAGGUGGGGUAACGGCUCACCUAGGCGACGAUCCCUAGCUGGUCUGAGAGGAUGACCAGCCACACUGGAACUGAGACACGGUCCAGACUCCUACGGGAGGCAGCAGUGGGGAAUAUUGCACAAUGGGCGCAAGCCUGAUGCAGCCAUGCCGCGUGUAUGAAGAAGGCCUUCGGGUUGUAAAGUACUUUCAGCGGGGAGGAAGGGAGUAAAGUUAAUACCUGUGCUCAUUGACGUUACCCGCAGAAGAAGCACCGGCUAACUCCGUG
RNAcentral lists this ribosomal RNA (490 nucleotides) under uncultured bacterium. RNAcentral's name for it is "partial 16S ribosomal RNA". It matches the Rfam family "Bacterial small subunit ribosomal RNA", at positions 30 to 507 of the family's 1533-position model. The record is from RNAcentral.